RNAcentral lists this transfer RNA (87 nucleotides) under Ancylobacter mangrovi. RNAcentral describes it as "tRNA-Leu". It matches the Rfam family "tRNA". Rfam says of the family: Transfer RNA (tRNA) molecules are approximately 80 nucleotides in length. Lineage: Bacteria; Pseudomonadati; Pseudomonadota; Alphaproteobacteria; Hyphomicrobiales; Xanthobacteraceae. The record is from RNAcentral.
GCGGACGUGGCGAAACUGGUAGACGCACGAGACUUAAAAUCUUGCGCCGUUAAAGGCUUGCGGGUUCGAGCCCCGCCGUCCGCACCA